Non-coding RNA from Oryza meridionalis, 203 nucleotides. Lineage: Eukaryota; Viridiplantae; Streptophyta; Magnoliopsida; Poales; Poaceae. The record is from Rfam.
UUUAAGUGCAACCAUAAGUUUAUACGCCCAACUUUGAUCGUUCAUCUUAUUUGAAAAUUUUUUAUAAUUAAUAUUUUUGUUGGUAUGAGAUAAUAAAACAUGAAAAAUACUUUGCUUGUGACUUAUGUUUUUAAUUUUUUUAAAACUUUUCAAAUAAGACGGACGGUCAAAGUUGGGCGUGGAAAAUCAUGGCUGCACUUAUA